Seriola dumerili (greater amberjack) is the source of this 1830-nucleotide long non-coding RNA. RefSeq lists it as uncharacterized. The transcript is spliced from 3 exons. Lineage: Eukaryota; Metazoa; Chordata; Actinopteri; Carangiformes; Carangidae. The record is from RefSeq and is a predicted model, not a curated record.
CUAGCAGAGCAGAAGUACAGAGCAUCGACAGUACAGACUGAAUUUAAGGCAAAACUCUCUCACAGUAGAUCAUCAUGGCACAAGAGUAUGAGCUCUCUGACUUCACCAAUGUACAUGAGCUUCAGGGAUCUGAAACAAACAGUGGUAACACUCAACCAGCAGAGAGAGGACUCCUCAGAAUCGGGAUUGUAACUUUAGCAGUGUUGUGUGUCAUACAGGCCACUCUUAAUAUCUCGCUGCGCCUUGCCUUGUAUUCAAAAGAAGAUGCAGAACAGCUUCCUUUCAAUCCCUCCAUGAUAGCAGAACUGUGCCAGACUGAUCAGUUUCAAGAGAACACAAUCCAGGCAUGUUCCUGCUGCAACAACUUGCUGAGGAGUAUAGUGAGGGAAUAUAACGUCUUGAAAACACAGAGAGACCUCUUGGUCAGUCAACUGAAUGAAAACAGGCUUGAGGAGGGCGGCUUCUCAAGCUCUGGGUCAGGCUCACUGGAGGAACUCCUCGAGACAGGUUGGAGUUCAGUGGAGACCUUUUGAACAUCUGAUCAGCUAAACGGAUAUUAUGUUCAACACCUACCAUAUUUUGAUGAAAUAUAUACAGUAUAUAUUUACAAUGUCAUGUAGAGCUGAAAAAUUGCAGAUCAGCUAAACCUUUUAUCUUAAUUUAUUUUAGUUUUCACAGUUUCACAAUCUGUAUAUGUUCACAUUAGAAAUCAGUGUUUUCUGAUGCUGUUCGGUGGAGACAGGAGAUCUUGGAGGGGCUGUGAGCUGAGCUGCAGAUAACGUUUGCUCAGCUUGCUUAUGUGAUAAUUUAAGAUCCAGACGUCUGGUGACUAAAACCCUUCAUCUGAUUAAAAUAUAAUCUUCAAAAACAACCAAGAAAUGUAACGUCAAAUAAAAUAAAACAAAACCUCAUUCUUAACCAUUUUUAGCAGCCAGAGGGAAGGUUGAGAGGGUAAAGGAAGACCCCAGGACAUGCAAACUCUCAAGGCAAACACUGACCUAUAAUUCGCCGACCCCAAAUAUGGCCUAUCAUUUGAAACAUGUAAGCAUUAGCAUGGCCAAUUGCUCUAGCUUUGUCCUUACUGGUUGUUCCAACACAUAUAGAAUCAUUACCGCGUUUACCGGUGUUGCUGACACGCAGCUUGCAUCGUUCAUGAACUUUAUUUAAACUCAUAGAGGCUCAGUAUUACGGUUUGGCAAUUUUCUGUAACGCAGCAGAGUUAGCAAUGUUACUUACAACAUUAUUUCUCAGCCCUGGACUCCUGGAUUCCUGAUGCCCCCCAAAAAUAUAUUUAAAUAAAUUAAAUCAUUAUCAUAAAUGUAUGACAAAUAGUUAACUAAUGGCUUGAACUAAUGACUUCCAGUCAACGAGGAAACUCUUUGGUCAGGGGCAGCCUUAAUGGGCACAAACAUAUAAAUACAAAGUAUGUGAAUAUCUGAAAAUGAAUGUUUACAUCUGUGUGCAGGCCUGUAUAAUUGUUUUUUAUGUUUGGUAUGUUGGUUGCUCUUACUUAAGACUCCAUCAAGGAGACAAACAUUUUGAUCAUAUAAAAACAAAAAGCGGAUAAAAUAACUAAAGUAUGAUUGUUGUAUGAUUAAUGUUAUGUAACUUAUGCAUAACAUUAAUCAUACAACAAUCAUGGUGUUUUCUGCACCUAAAUAAUUGUCCGUGCGAUGCAGCUACCAAACCUCAAACCACACUUUGUACUAUUCAGGCGCAGACACAAGCAAAAGAGGAACUGAAUAAAUCAUUUUUACUUCAUGUAGAAAAUUAUUGCGUGUAUUGAGUUUACAGAAUGUGACAUAUUUAAAAAUGGAUAUUUUUACAAUA